RNAcentral lists this long non-coding RNA (2853 nucleotides) under Homo sapiens (human). RNAcentral's name for it is "HSALNT0381362". Lineage: Eukaryota; Metazoa; Chordata; Mammalia; Primates; Hominidae. The record is from RNAcentral.
GCCCAUCUCAGAGGGUUUGGGACAUAUGUGGGAACGCUGCCCUUCCGAGGUAAGAGGUGGAGCCCCAGCCAGCAGAAAGGAAGCUUCUGAGGAAUGCUCUAGUGUUUCCCAGAGUCAGGGUAUAUGAAAGGCGCUUUAGAAACUGUGGUGUUUGUACUGUUGCUAACAGUACAGAUGUUAGGCAAAGAGCCUACGACUGCACCUCGUGGCCCCUGGGCUCCCCAAGCGCUUGGUGCCACUGCAGUGCCCUCAAGCCUGUGACCCAGGCUGCUUCAGCUUCUGAUGAGCCUACAUGCACGUUCACGCACUUUGAAGACACAGAAUUCUAGAAAGCAGCCCGAACACUGCGGCCAUAAGCUUCUAUGCCAGCUCGUUCAAGGGGGUCCCAGGAGGGGCCAGGAGACUGGCCGGCGUCUCAGCUUCCUACGUCCGCAUGGGCAACUCUGAUUCCACCCGUGGUGUGUCGCAAAGGGCCUCCUGAUUGGGCCUCAUGCCAAACAACUUGUUACAAAAAGAGCUUGGGUCCCAGACUGCACUGAAGCUUCAUGAGACCUCUCCUCAUCUACACCAGUGAGUGGCCGACUCUGGAGCCCAGGCUGUUGCUUACGGGUCUGGUGGUGAAUUCUCCAUAGUCUGUGGUUGCCCUGGAGUUUGCAAUACACAUUGAUAACGAAUCCAUGCCCAUCUUCACAGAACAUGAUAUCACUUUACAGUGUAUAAGGUACAGUACAAGUACCUUAUAAUAUCAAAAGGUUCCUAUUCCUCCCUCCUGUUCUUUGUAUUGUUGUUGUCAUUCAUCAAAUGUAUUCUUUAAUCAUAGUUUCCUUUAGUUCUUUGAAUAUAUUUAUAAUGGCUGAUCUGAAAUCUUUGUUAAUCUAACACCUUGUUAUUCUUAUAAGCAGUUUCUGUUGCCUGAUUUUUUUUUCUGCUUAUAAGUCAUACUUUCCUGUUUCUUUGCAUGUCUUGUAAUUUUUUGGUUAUAAUCAAGAUAUUUCUGAUAAUGUAGUAGCUCUGCAUACUGGUCCUUGUUUUUGUAAAUAAACUGGGCUUAUUUAUGUUUUAGUGACCAGCUGGCUUAUUUCAAUAAGAUCUAUUUGGCCCUCCUCCACUACUCCAUAGUGGGAAGCCUCUGAUGCUGCUUCUCAGGCAGUGUAGCCUGCUAAACCUGGGAUGACAGUGGUUUUGGCUAGCUUCACUUUGACUGUGUUAACAUUCAGCUGUUAAACUCCACCAAUUACGAUUUUCAACAAUGCUAUAAGGAACACAUUGUUUCACAGACAGUAUCUGAUCAAUUUUGGGCUCCUUUGAAAGGAUAGUUCUUGAGGUCAAUGUUUGAGACUUGUUCUGAUCCUGCAAGGACUCCUCCUGGCUGUCUCUUCUCCCAGUUCUCUCCAGGAAAGUUAUAGCCUAAAGUUCAGCCGAUAACUCUAAUGAAUCUACCAAUCCCCUCCCAAUCCCCAGUCACUGCAACCUUCACUGUUUUUGAAACGCCCUUAGGCUUGAACUUCUCCACACUCUUUUGCAAAUGAAGUCAGUUCCUUUAGGAAGUAAUUUGGAGCUUUCUGUUUUACAGCCUGCUUCUGCUCCUGGUGAAAAUCUCUGAGCCAUUGUUCUGGAGCUGGGGAUGAGGACAAUGGCUUGCAUCUCUUUGAGUGAUGGGAGCCAAAUGCUCGGUGGAUGGGGGAUAGUGGCCUUAGGUCUUUUUGGUUGGCCUUUCCCAGGAUGAGAGCACCACCUUAAAAGCCUGAACAAGAUGCACUGGGGUCCCAGUAUUUUCAGCAGUGAUGUCCCCAAGGUAGAGCCUGUGAGCCAUGAGUAGGGGCUGGGUAGAAGGGACCCCCCCCACCUGUUGACUGCAUUUAUUUGAAACUUAGCUUAAGCAAGAGGUGGCUGGGAGCAGGAUGAGAAGUGCUGACAUCCUGCCCCUCCCAGGAAGACAGCCCUCCAACUGUGAGCUGGCAGAGAGGAAGCCCUGAGUUCUUGGCUAUACCAGUCUAGAGUGGAGUUUUUGUCUCAUUGACCUGGAAGAUGGAAGGAGGGAGGAAUCUUGGUUCAGAUACAACAAGCUCAUUCUCUUUAUCAAGCUUUAGUAUGUUUUCUUGAAUAAGCACUUCUUCAUUUGGUGUAUGCCCUUAGGACCAUUUCUAGAGACUUUAAAGAAUUGGGGGUUUGGUUUGUUUUUAAAAUAAUUCUCACUGGUUUCACUGGUUUCCCUUGGGAGUUGUCUGCAAAGCUCCUCAUGCUAUCAUGUCAGAAGUGGAAUUCCUAAAAGCUACUUUUGAAAUGUGAGAAAUAUUUCUCCUGUUGUAUUUAAUGUCAACUCAAGAAUGGUUUUCCAUGGGCUUUUGGCCUGUCUUUCUUUGCCCAUCUCACUUCUGUUGACCAACCCCAUUCCUACCUGUAUUUUCCUCCCUCCCUUCUGUUUUCAUGAGGUUGUUUUUAACAGCUUCUUACUUCCCUCCAAAAGGAGCCCCAUUCUUUUGCACAGUAAUCACCAUCCUAGCUAGGGUCAUCCUAGACACAGGCCAUUCAGCCCGGAGACCUAUUUUUCGCAGACCAUGGGUGUACAUGUGAAAAGAAACCAUUUGUCUUCCUAGAUUAUAACCUGAAGAUUUGAUACAACCCAGAUCUUCUCAGUAGAAAUUUUUUUUGGUCACAAGUAGCAUUGACCAAACUCUCUUCAAAUUCAUUUAGCUUUCUUGAUAAUAUAGACUCUUAGGAAAUGAGCUUCAGAUAUACAUGGUUGACAACAUAAACUAGUAUUUUCUUUCUUUUCCAGUAACUGCUGAAGUUUCAAAAUGUCUGUUUACCAUAUUUAAGUUUUGGUAAGUAGUUCAUGUUUUCCUUAUCUGU